GACGAACGCUGGCGGCGUGCUUAACACAUGCAAGUCGAACGGAAAGGCCCUGCUUUUGUGGGGUGCUCGAGUGGCGAACGGGUGAGUAACACGUGAGUAACCUGCCCUUGACUUUGGGAUAACUUCAGGAAACUGGGGCUAAUACCGGAUAGGAUCUCCUGCUGCAUGGUGGGGGUUGGAAAGUUUCGGCGGUUGGGGAUGGACUCGCGGCUUAUCAGCUUGUUGGUGGGGUAGUGGCUUACCAAGGCUUUGACGGGUAGCCGGCAUGAGAGGGUGGCCGGCCACAUUGGGACUGAGAUACGGCCCAGACUCCUACGGGAGGCAGCAGGGGGGAAUAUUGCACAAUGGGCGGAAGCCUGAUGCAGAAACGCCGCGUGCGGGAUGACGGCCUUCGGGUUGUAAACCGCUUUCGCCUGUGACGAAGCGUGAGUGACGGUAAUGGGUAAAGAAGCACCGGCUAACUACGUG
RNAcentral lists this ribosomal RNA (468 nucleotides) under uncultured bacterium. RNAcentral's name for it is "partial 16S ribosomal RNA". It matches the Rfam family "Bacterial small subunit ribosomal RNA", at positions 28 to 507 of the family's 1533-position model. The record is from RNAcentral.